RNAcentral lists this RNase P RNA (396 nucleotides) under Alphaproteobacteria bacterium GWF2_58_20. Its description in RNAcentral is "RNase P RNA component class A". It matches the Rfam family "Bacterial RNase P class A". From Rfam's summary of the family: Ribonuclease P (RNase P) is a ubiquitous endoribonuclease, found in archaea, bacteria and eukarya as well as chloroplasts and mitochondria. Its best characterised activity is the generation of mature 5'-ends of tRNAs by cleaving the 5'-leader elements of precursor-tRNAs. RNAcentral also lists the same sequence under 1 other name. The record is from RNAcentral. Lineage: Bacteria; Pseudomonadati; Pseudomonadota; Alphaproteobacteria.
CCAGAUGGCCGGAUGGCCGCCGCGACGCGCAAGCGCCGGGGAGGAAAGUCCGGGCUUCACGGGAAUAUGGUACCGGGUAACGCCCGGCGGGGGCGACCCCAGGGACAGUGCAACAGAAAGCAAACCGCCCGUACAUGCCGAAAGGCGUCUGCGGGCAAGGGUGAAAGGGUGCGGCAAGAGCGCACCGCGCUUCCGGUAACGGAGGUGGCACGGCAAACCCUGCCAGAAGCAAGACCGAAUAGGGACGGCGGAUGUGAAACAGGCAUCCACACGCAUUCCCGCGUGCCGUCCGGGUAGGUUGCUUGAGGUGCAUGGCAACAUGCAUCCUAGAGGAAUGGUCAUCCAUCGCCGCGCAAGCAGCGAAGACAAAACCCGGCUUACAGGCCGUCUGGCGCU